GUGGCUAUCCACUCCAUCUCAAUCUCACAACUUUCAGCGACGGAUGUCUCGGCUCGAACAACGAUGAAGGGCGCAGCGAAGUGUGAUAAACAUUGUGAAUUGCAGAAUUCCGUGAACCAAUAGGGAUUUGAACGUAUACUGCGCUUUCGGGAUAUCCCUGAAAGCAUGCCUGCUUCAGUGCCUCUA
Molecule: ribosomal RNA, 186 nt
Filed under: Azadinium dalianense
Lineage: Eukaryota; Dinophyceae; Gonyaulacales; Amphidomataceae
Description: 5.8S ribosomal RNA
Rfam family: 5.8S ribosomal RNA (bases 29-183)
About the family: 5.8S ribosomal RNA (5.8S rRNA) is a component of the large subunit of the eukaryotic ribosome. It is transcribed by RNA polymerase I as part of the 45S precursor that also contains 18S and 28S rRNA.
Source: RNAcentral